AAGAGUCUAAUGAGGUGCAG
Molecule: unclassified non-coding RNA, 20 nt
Filed under: Mus musculus (house mouse)
Lineage: Eukaryota; Metazoa; Chordata; Mammalia; Rodentia; Muridae
Description: oocyte_clustered_small_RNA7397
Source: RNAcentral